UACGGAGGGAGCUAGCGUUGUUCGGAAUUACUGGGCGUAAAGAGCGUGUAGGCGGCCUGAAAGGUCAGCUGUGGAAAACUCGAGGCUCAACCUCGAGACGUCGGGUUGAAACCAUCUGGCUAGAGUCCGGAAGAGGAGUGUGGAAUUCCUGGUGUAGCGGUGGAAUGACGCAGAUAUCAGGAGGAACACCGAUGGCGAAGGCAGAUCUCUGGGCCGUAAACUGACGCUGGAGGAAGCGAAAGCGUGGGAGCGAACAGG
RNAcentral lists this ribosomal RNA (258 nucleotides) under uncultured bacterium. RNAcentral's name for it is "partial 16S ribosomal RNA". It matches the Rfam family "Bacterial small subunit ribosomal RNA", at positions 524 to 776 of the family's 1533-position model. The record is from RNAcentral.